GAUGAACGCUGGCGGCGUGCUUAACACAUGCAAGUCGAACGAGAAGUGGAGACGGAAACCUUCGGGCGGAAGGCGUUAGUUCGAGUGGCGGACGGGUGAGUAACGCGUGGGUAGCCUGCCUCAUACAGGGGGAUAACAGUUGGAAACGACUGUUAAUACCGCAUAAGACCACAGCACCGCAUGGUGCGGGGGUGAAAACUCCGGUGGUAUGAGAUGGACCCGCGUUCGAUUAGCCAGAUGGCUGGGUAACGGCCCACCAAAGCGACGAUCGAUAGCCGAUCUGAGAGGCUGACCCGCCACAUUGGGACUGAGACACGGCCCAGACUCCUACGGGAGGCAGCAGUGGGGAAUAUUGCACAAUGGGGGAAACCCUGAUGCAGCGACGCCGCGUGAGUGAAGAAGUAUGUCGGUAUGUAAAGCUCUAUCAGCAGGGAAGAAAAUGACGGUACCUGAGUAAGAAGCCCCGGCUAACUACGUG
RNAcentral lists this ribosomal RNA (478 nucleotides) under uncultured bacterium. RNAcentral's name for it is "partial 16S ribosomal RNA". It matches the Rfam family "Bacterial small subunit ribosomal RNA", at positions 28 to 507 of the family's 1533-position model. The record is from RNAcentral.